RNAcentral lists this transfer RNA (73 nucleotides) under Felis catus (domestic cat). It matches the Rfam family "tRNA". Rfam says of the family: Transfer RNA (tRNA) molecules are approximately 80 nucleotides in length. Lineage: Eukaryota; Metazoa; Chordata; Mammalia; Carnivora; Felidae. RNAcentral also lists the same sequence under 2 other names. The record is from Rfam by way of RNAcentral.
CCCUGGCUGGCUCAGUUGGUGGAGCAUGUGACUUUUGAUCUCCUGGUUGUGAGUUCAAUCCCCAUGUUGGGUA